This is a non-coding RNA of Pelobates cultripes (western spadefoot toad), 376 nucleotides long. Lineage: Eukaryota; Metazoa; Chordata; Amphibia; Anura; Pelobatidae. The record is from the annotation of a GenBank genome assembly.
GGCCAGAGAGACCUCUGGGCUAGUUAAGGGGGAACCCUAUGAAUAGAGACAUGUCGGCUCAAUUUGUAGACGAGGGUAACUCCGGAGAGCAGACCCAGCACUUGGAUGCUAAAUCCAUCAGUUUGAUGUCCAGCUUGGACAGGGGCCGUUUUGCGGUUCUCAGGGGUAGAAACCAACUAGGCGAUACCUAUAAGUCAUAUCGGUCCAUUCCCAGUGGGAAUUUAGUCUUCUCCGCUUUCCAAGCGGUAACGUGCCGUUCGUCCCAAGGAAACAUCUGUUUCCGCGUGUCACCGACACCCACUGGUUAGUCCCAGAUAGAGUGCAAACCCCGUGUCAGGUGUUUGCGGUGUCCUUUCCGGACUCCGUCAUGAAGACU